GACGAACGCUGGCGGCGUGCUUAACACAUGCAAGUCGAGCGGUAAGGCCCUUUCGGGGGUACACGAGCGGCGAACGGGUGAGUAACACGUGGGUGACCUGCCCUUAGCUCUGGGAUAAGCCUGGGAAACUGGGUCUAAUACCGGAUAUGACUCCAUGACGCAUGUUGUGGGGUGGAAAGCCUUGUGCGGCUAGGGAUGGGCCCGCGGCCUAUCAGCUUGUUGGUGGGGUGAUGGCCACCAAGGCGACGACGGGUAGCCGGCCUGAGAGGGCGACCGGCCACACUGGGACUGAGACACGGCCCAGACUCCUACGGGAGGCAGCAGUGGGGAAUCUUGCGCAACGGGCGAAAGCCUGACGCAGCGACGCCGCGUGGGGA
This 377-nucleotide ribosomal RNA is filed under the name uncultured bacterium. RNAcentral describes it as "bacterial SSU rRNA". It matches the Rfam family "Bacterial small subunit ribosomal RNA", at positions 28 to 407 of the family's 1533-position model. The record is from RNAcentral.